RNAcentral lists this ribosomal RNA (252 nucleotides) under uncultured bacterium. Its description in RNAcentral is "partial 16S ribosomal RNA". It matches the Rfam family "Bacterial small subunit ribosomal RNA", at positions 524 to 776 of the family's 1533-position model. The record is from RNAcentral.
UACAGAGGGGGCAAGCGUUGUUCGGAAUUACUGGGCGUAAAGGGCGCGUAGGCGGCCUGUUAAGUCGAACGUGAAAUCCCCGGGCUCAACCCGGGAACUGCGUCCGAUACUGGCAGGCUUGAAUCCGGGAGAGGGAGCGGAAUUCCAGGUGUAGCGGUGAAAUGCGCAGAUAUCAGGAGGAACACCGAUGGCGAAGGCAGUUCUCUGGGCCGUAACUGACGCUGAGGAGCGAAAGCGUGGGGAGCGAACAGG